Molecule: transfer RNA, 85 nt
Filed under: Proteus mirabilis
Lineage: Bacteria; Pseudomonadati; Pseudomonadota; Gammaproteobacteria; Enterobacterales; Morganellaceae
Also listed under: 2 other names
Description: tRNA-Tyr
Rfam family: tRNA
About the family: Transfer RNA (tRNA) molecules are approximately 80 nucleotides in length.
Source: RNAcentral
GCAGGAUUAGUCUAGCGGCAAUGACAGGAGACUGUAAAUCUCCACCCCUCGGGGUUCCGUGGUUCGAGUCCACGAUCCUGCACCA